RNAcentral lists this long non-coding RNA (8383 nucleotides) under Marmota monax (woodchuck). Lineage: Eukaryota; Metazoa; Chordata; Mammalia; Rodentia; Sciuridae. The record is from RNAcentral.
CCUCUAAGAACAUGUGAAGGCUCAUUACCAAGUUCUUCCAUCCCCACAAUACUGCCCACCUCCUGUCUGCCCUUGCCAUCCCAUAGGACAUGGCAGUUGCUGUUCUCUCUGGGUGUGGGUCCAAGCUCCCAGUUGCCCUUGGACAGUGUGCUGUUGGGGAGGGAGGCUUGGGCUUGACCAGAGCCUGUGAAAGGACCAGGAGACUGAUGCUAAGCUGAGGGCUGUCCACAUGUGUACAGGCUGCUGCCUCAGGAGGAAGGUAGUCACCUUGUCUUCCAGCCUGGCCCAGUCUGUCAGCAGGAGAGGGUAGCUUUCUUUGGCAUGGGACAGGAGCACCACUUGCUCUCUACCUUUUUCCUCCCUGUCCGUUCGUGGGGACUUGCUGCCAUUCAGGUCUGCCCCAGGGUGCUCUGCUUUCUGCCAGGACCUGGGCAGCUGUUGGUGUGAUCAUGGGUUGAGGAGUGGGCAGUGUAAGUGGGGGUAGUUCUGGGACUAUUCAGGGGCCCAGCUGAAGCUGGACCCUUCCUGUGCCCUUGAAUAGCCUUCCUUGCUCAGCCCUUCACUUGGGAAGAGGAGAGGGCCUGGUAGAGUGUGACUUUCAGUUACAGCAUCUCCUUCCUGCCUGCAGCAGGUCAAUGGCCAACAAGGAGGGGGGUCCGAGCCAGCAGCGGCGGCAGUGGUGGCAGCGGGAGACAAAUGGAAACCUCCACAGGUACUGAUCUCAAGCAUCCUCUCCCUCAGGCCGCCUGUCUGCCCGCCCGCCUGUCUGCCCGCCCGCCUGCCUGCCCGCCUACCCGCCUGCCUGCAUGUCCCUGGGGCCAGAGAGGCCUGGCUAGGGCAGGUGGGGAGAAGCCCAGGGAUCCUUCCCUGCCUUCUGAGCAGACAUCGUCUGCAAGACUGUGGCCCAUCCCUGAGCCUCUCCUGAUCCCUCCCCACCCUAUUUCUGGCCUGGCUUCUCUCCUAUGGGUCUCUCCUGCCUCAAGCCCUGGUCAGGGCCUGGCAGUGGGCUGGCUGGGCAGGGGCAUUGGGUACUGCACUUUAGCUGUGCUUGCUCCUUGCUGCCAACUUGGUGCAGAAGGGGGUAGACUUUCUGUUGCAAGACAGGCAAUGUUUUGUUUAGAGCCAGAAGUACAGAUUUUCAUUUUAGUUUUGUUUUUAUUUAGACAACAAAACAACAUACAAAGUCAAAGCACAAGUGUGGGAAUCCAGCCCCCACCUUCUCUGCAUCCCAGGCUCAGGGUGGGUGAAACAGGUCUUGUCCUGCUCUAGUAAAAUGGCCCAUGGGAGCAAGCCCUCUGGGAAGUGGAGCUGGGCUCUGUUGUCACUGGGUGACAGUUUUCUUUGUGCCUGUCUGUGGCUGUACCUGCCACCAGAGGGUUCUGGCAGGCCUCUUGGGCCUAGUCCCUCCUCCUGGCCCCCAGGCACCCUCAGGAGUGGGACAGGGGUGUGGUGUGUCACCUAGACCCUGGGAAGCUUUGGGUCUGAAGCUCCAACCCCAGCUGCUGUCCAGCAGCCAUUGGUGGGUGGGAGAAGGGCCUUUUGUUCACCAAGACAAAGAGGAGAUUGAAAAGUUUCUAGGGGGUGAGGGGAACUGGCAUUGAUUUCCAUGGUGACAGCCUGCUCUAGCAUUCCAGCUUCUGCUUGGGCCCUCUCCCACUAAGGAGGAAUGGGCUUGGGGCCAGCUGGGAGGGCAAAGAAAGGCCUAGUAUGAGCCAUACUGCAGCUCACCCACUGCCAGACCUUGCUAUAUCUUGGGGCCUGCUUGCAGUUCUGGUUGCCCAGGAAGGCCUUCUAGCCUUCUUACCUUUUGACCUUGGGCUAGAAACCCCGCACUCAGGAGUCCAGGAUGGGGGUCUUAGAGUUUGGGUCAGCUGAACCCUGCUGGCUUUCUUUGAUCCCCAGCCGUUGCUCCCACUCAUGGUCUGGAUUCUUUCCUCUCUUUCCCUCUCAAGGCUGUGUCUGGAAGCCGGGAAGGGUGUUGGUCUUUUGAGUUGGUAGGCAGGCAGGCAGGCUCUGUCCACCCUCCAUCCCACCACCCCCGCUCUGCUGGCUCUAGUGCUGGGCUUCUCUCCCUGCUUGGAUGGCUGUGUCCCCCUGCAAAAACCUGGAAGUGGAUUAGACAAAAGGAAUGUAAACAUGACCCUAAACAUAAUCCACUUAGGUUCGCAGCCUGCUGUGGCGAGCCCACCCCUGCCCAAGUGCCUCCUGGUUUGUUGACGUGGUUGGCUGGGUGCUGUCUCCCUGGGGUUGCUCUGUUCCUGGUUCUCCCAGGGGGCUUAGCACAUCGUGAAGUCUGAUAGAGGCAGGCUGGAGCCCCCUUAGGGCUCAUGUGGCCUGGGAGUGCUUAGACUCUGUGAUGUGUGCACAGGGCCUUGUCUGUAGGGCCAAGGAUGGACAUUGUCAGGAAGGAGGCCCUUUGUCUGUACUUGCUCCUUGGCCGGCCCCUGGAACUCGAAGCUGUGUCUGUGUCCAUAACAGGGGCUGUGAACAAUCUUAAGAGGCCAGGAUGCCAGGUGGCAUAGGAGUAAGGAGUCCCUGAAUGCCCUGAAAAUACCAGCCCUACUCCUCCUUCCCUGGAAAACAGCUAGCCUGGAUCCCCUGCAGGAGGUGGGGUGGAAGCUCUGGGAGCAGUCUGGCAACGAGGGCUGGCUCCUUUCCUAUCACCCCCUACCUGCCUGGGUAGCUCCUAAGGAGUCUUCUGUGGUCUGGGCCCCUUAACUGCUUCAGGAUGGUGCCAGGGCCCCCAGAGUACCCACUUGCCUCAGUCUAUGUUCCACCCAUGGGUCCUGGGGGAGAAAGGCCUAGGAUGGGGACAGCAGAGUUAGAAGGGGGUCCUAUAUCCACGCAGUCAGUAGACAGCCUGGUUUUGGGCUGGUCCCUCCCUGGGAAGAGGCUGGGGAGAUGGAGGGUGGGGUUUCUGGGACCACACAAGGGAGACCUGAGCCUGCUGCUACAUGACUCCCUUGCUUCACCUUCUAGGGCACAGAUUCCAUCAAGAUGGAGAAUGGACAGAGCACAGCCGCCAAGCUGGGGCUGCCUCCCCUGACGCCUGAGCAGCAGGAGGCCCUCCAGAAGGUGAGCACCUUCCUCCAGAGCCUGUGGGCAUGGCUGCUGAGCUGGGUGAGUGGGGGCACACCAUCUCCCUGCGGGCGGGCCCCCCAGUGCUCCUCACUGCUGUCUCUCGCAGGCCAAGAAGUAUGCCAUGGAGCAGAGCAUCAAGAGCGUGCUGGUGAAGCAGACCAUCGCACACCAGCAGCAGCAGCUCACCAACCUGCAGGUGAGCCCCACCACUCUCCCUCCACCCCACUUCACUGUCUCGGGGGCUGGCUCUGCUGGAGGCUGUCCUGCCCAGCCUGGGCCAGGAGGCCUCCACUGCCCCUCCCCAUCACCUACACCAUCUCCUCCUCCUCCUUCUCUUCCUCCUCCUGUGCCUGUGGCCAUCCCCUAAAGGUGUUAUGAUUCUCAUACUCUCAAGGACUCAUUCUCAAGAUCCCAGGGUCCUCCCUGAGGCUCCAGCGGCCCAGCUUUUCUGCCUGUUGCUCACUAUGGCCCCUUCUCACCUGCCUCCCUGCUCCUUCUCUGUAGCUCUGCCCCAUUCACCCUUGGGGUCUCCCCCACACCCUUGUCCCCCAGGCUGUGCACAGCUAUAGUGGCACUGUGUAGGGUAUGUCCUCCCUACCCCCAUGGUCAGGCCCCACCCUUCUGCAUCCAGACCACCUGGGCUGGGACCCAGGACUGAGGGGACAGUCUAGGGGUGCCUCACUGGGCCAUGCUCUAGACUAGAGGCUGUGCUUUCUGUGUGGGGCCAGUAGGUUCCUGGGCCUUGUGCCCUCCCCCUGCCCAGGCCAGUCCUCAGACAUUCACGCUGCCAGGAGAUGUCCUGGCUGUUCACCGUGCUCCAUCAGUCCCUCUCCUCCCUCCCUCCCUUCCUUCUGCCCUGGCCAGUCCUGCUGCAAAGUCUGCAGGGCAGGGCACCUGGGGCUCUGCGGCCCCCCUGGGCAGGUGCCGUUGCAGUGUGGGAAGGCAGGCGGGCCUCCCUGGCAGGGCGGGGACUCCGGGCCUGGCCGCUGUCUGCGUGAGGUGUUGACGAGAGCGGGAGACUGCUCGGCUCCAACAGACUGAACUCUGUCUUUACUGUCUUUCAGAUGGCAGCAGUGACAAUGGGCUUUGGAGAUCCUCUCUCACCUUUGCAAUCGGUCAAUAGAAAUGCUCACUUCUUCCGGGGCUCAUGUCCUUAGUCAGGGCUAGAGGGGGGCAGUGCAGCCCACUGCUGGGGACCUUGCUCCCCUGGCCGGCCCUGCCCGUCAGCUCUGGACGAGCACAGCAGAGCGCCAGGCAUGGCGGGGCCAGUGGUGUGGGCACCCACCCCGGGACCGCCCCUGGGGAGGCCUCCAUCUGCUCUGAGGGCCCGCCUUAAAACUAACCGGCCAGGUAACUGCAGAGGGCAGCCGCGGCAGCCAGCCAGGGAGGGUAGCUGCCGGUGCCAGGCUCGUCUGUGCCCUGCUGCCCCACGCAGGGUGCACCACGGGCCACCAGGUCGCCAGUCUCCAGGCUGCCUAGGCUCUUGGGUUGGGCUGAAGACCCUGAGGAGAGAGGGGUCCUGACUUGUGGCCCCAUCAGACCCUGGAGGGAGGACGGAGGGGAGGUGGGGGGUGGGGGGAUGAGUGAGUGAGAAAGGGAAGGGCGAAGAUUUGGGCCAUGGGCCUGGGCUGUCAGCAAGGUCUAGAGGCCAAGGAGGAGGCAGAGGCCAUAGCUGCGGGGCUGCAGCAAGCAGAGUCUUUUCCUGCCCCACAGGCAGUCUGAGGCGGCCAGACACCAUCCUGGGGAGGAUCCUGAGGGGGAGAUAUGGCCCUUUCUCUGGGGGCCAUUUGGAGGACUUGGGCCAAUCCUGAGCGAGCUUCCCUCAUUGGGGAGACACUGUGUGUCAGAAAGGCAGCUGUCGACCCUCUGAAGACACCUGGGCUAUGGGGGUUGUGGUCAGGGAGAAAGCUGUUUGCCCACCUGUAGAUGGGGAGUCCCACCUUGAAGGGGAGGCAUGGCCCUUUCUUGGGGAACAUAGGCCUGAGGGACAGAUGGGGCUUCAUCUUGAUGUAAGCGGAAGCCUGGGGCCUAUUUGUUAGGGAACCCAGUUUGAGGAGGGAAGAGUCAAGUUUUCAGAGACUUGCUAGUUUGAGGGAAGGUCGUCCCAACCAUGGGGAGUCUGUGUUGGGCAGCUAGACUCUAAGGGAGGGGCCAGGCCUGUGCCAGGCUUUUUGACACAGAUAGGAGUAAACUGGUCUCUGCUGGGAACCUUCACAAGGGCCAGGGGAGCCCUUGUUCGUGUUCAGGCAGGGUCCUGGGGCGUGUCUUCCUGUGGCCCACAGUGCUUGGCUCUGGAACUCCCUGCCUGGCACAGCUGUGAGGUGGCAGGGGAGAGAUCCCCAUUCUUGAGGGUUCAGGGAGGUUCCUCAACGCAGUGGCCCAGCCCACAACCAAGGCUUGCCAGUUUCCCAGCUCCAGGGAGCCCCAAGGUUUCUCAGUUGGGUUCUCCGCUGCCUCAUGACACUUCUGGGGACCAGGCCAGUGGCUCUUGCCUGUGCUCUUGUGGCUCCAGGCGUAGGCUCUAGCAGCUCUUUUUAGAGGGGAGCGGGGCGUUGGGAUGGGAAGAGUAUAGGUCACUGAGCCCCUGCCUGAGUUGGUCCCGCACGAGCGACUAUUCCUCGUUCUCUCCAGGGAGCCCCCGUCUGGGCUCCUGAACUCCCCUGGGGUUUCUUCUGGGCAGUGGCUGCCCCGUCUUCUGUCACCCUCUCUUCUGGCCUCCAUGCCAGCCAGUCCCUCCAGCUUGGAUGACUCCUCCUUCCCUUUUCUGUUGCAGUACUUGGCUGGGAAGGUGGGAGGAUCUCCCAGCCCGGCCCGGGGUACCUGACCCUGGGACUGGAGGGUGAGCGUGGUGGGAGGGCGCAGAGCCCUGCCUCCUGGCCACCAGUCAGUUUUGCAGCUGCAGUCUGCCUGGGACUGGGCGGGCUGGGCUCGUCUGUGUACUGCUGUUGGGCCUGGCCUUCUUCAGGGUGGGGUCCUGCUGACCCCUGUGCCCUGACUUUAGGGGCCAAGCCUGCAUCUUGCUGCUGGGUGGGGAUCACUCCCCACCGCAGAGUUCAUGGGGCAGGUGGGUGGGCCAGGAGGGGAGAGGGCUGCUAAGCCCCUUGCCUGCCUCCCUGACAAGCCAGUGGCGCUCUCUCCUUCUGUUCUGCUAUAGAUGGCAGCUCAGCGGCAGCGGGCACUGGCCAUCAUGUGCCGGGUCUACGUGGGCUCCAUCUACUAUGAGCUAGGGGAGGACACCAUUCGCCAGGCCUUUGCCCCUUUUGGCCCCAUCAAAAGCAUUGACAUGUCCUGGGAUUCUGUCACUAUGAAGCACAAGGUGAGCAGACUAGGUCUACCCCAGUUGCCUUGGCCUACCCUCCUUGGGGUUCUUCCAAGCCUGAUAGGGUUUCCUGUGUCUAGGGCUUUGCCUUUGUGGAAUAUGAAGUCCCAGAAGCUGCACAGCUGGCCUUGGAGCAGAUGAACUCAGUGAUGCUGGGAGGCAGGAACAUCAAGGUGAGGGUGUGGGUGCAGGUGUUGGGCUUUUGGGCCUUGAGAAUGUUCUGUCUAGUCUCCCAGAUGUGUCGAGCAACCUCACAGAAGCCUGCUGUGACUAAGUCUGACAGGUGCUCUCGGUCCCUUCCCCUUCCCCAGGUGGGUAGGCCCAGCAACAUAGGGCAGGCCCAGCCCAUCAUCGACCAGCUGGCUGAGGAGGCACGGGCCUUCAACCGUAUCUACGUGGCCUCCGUGCACCAGGACCUCUCGGAUGAUGACAUCAAGAGUGUGUUUGAGGCCUUUGGCAAGAUCAAGUCUUGCACACUAGCCCGGGACCCCACAACUGGCAAGCACAAGGGCUACGGCUUCAUUGGUGAGCUGGGGGUGCUGAGGAGAGGUGGGGGCCCACCUGGUGCUGGGACUGGCCCUCCUCACUGCUGCUCCUGCCCUGCAGAGUACGAGAAGGCCCAGUCGUCCCAGGAUGCUGUGUCCUCCAUGAACCUCUUUGAUCUGGGUGGCCAGUACUUGCGGGUGGGCAAGGCUGUCACACCCCCCAUGCCCCUGCUAACACCUGCCACCCCAGGAGGCCUUCCGCCUGCUGCCGCUGUGGCCGCAGCUGCAGCCACAGCCAAGAUCACAGCUCAGGUGAGGGGGUGGACAGGUGCUCUAGUCAUUUGGGAGCCAGCUCUUGAUAUGGUCUUGGGUGGAGGUAGCCAGACUGGGGACUGAGUGUGGUUGCCUUCUGGGUUGCAGGAAGCAGUGGCUGGAGCAGCUGUGUUGGGUACCUUGGCAACACCUGGACUGGUGUCCCCAGCACUGACCUUGGCUCAACCCCUAGGGGCUCUGCCCCAGGCUGUCAUGGCUGCCCAAGCUCCUGGAGUCAUCACAGGUGAGUCUGAGUAGGCCAAGGCUCUCCAGGCAUUCCUGCCCCUCAUUUCUAGGCUCUCUGCCUUCACCUGCCCAGGGUGGGCUGGCCAUGGCGACCAGCUCUGCUUCCUGCUAAGGUGGGGGUUGUGGGGAUAGCUGCUGGACCUGGUUGGUUUUGCUGCAGGUGUGACCCCGGCCCGUCCUCCCAUUCCGGUCACCAUCCCCUCUGUGGGGGUGGUGAACCCCAUCCUGGCUAGCCCCCCAACACUGGGUCUCCUGGAGCCCAAGAAGGAGAAGGAAGAGGAGGAGCUGUUUCCUGAGUCUGAACGGCCAGAGAUGCUAAGUGAGCAGGAGCACAUGAGCAUCUCUGGCAGCAGUGCCCGCCACAUGGUCAUGCAGAAGCUGCUGCGCAAGCAGGAGGUGGGUGAACAGACCCUGGGUCGGGAUGUAGGGGUGGGGAACAUCUAGGCAGGCCACAGUGCUCAGCUGUCUCCUCCCCACAGUCCACAGUGAUGGUUCUCCGCAACAUGGUGGAUCCCAAGGACAUCGAUGAUGACCUGGAAGGAGAGGUGACAGAGGAGUGUGGCAAGUUUGGUGCUGUCAACCGUGUCAUCAUCUACCAAGAGAAGCAGGGUGAAGAGGAGGAUGCAGAAAUAAUUGUAAAGAUUUUUGUGGAGUUUUCCAUGGCCUCAGAGACUCACAAGGCCAUCCAGGCCCUCAACGGGCGCUGGUUCGCUGGCCGCAAGGUGGUGGCUGAAGUGUAUGACCAGGAGCGUUUUGAUAACAGUGACCUGUCUGCGUGACCUUGGGCCAGUUUUCUGGACUUGCACUUGUUCCUUGUUUCCUCUGGGUUUUAUAGUGAUAAACAGUGGUGUCCCUGGGACCAGGCACUCGGCUCUACCAAGCCCAACCUGUAGUGUGCAUAAAGUGCAGAUGCUGCUGGCCCUGAGCAUCCCUGUGUCCG